GACGAACGCUGGCGGCGUGCUUAACACAUGCAAGUGGAGCGACGAACCAGGGCUUGCCCCGGGGCAGAGCCGCGAACGGGUGAGUAACACGUGGGUAACGUGCCCCGAUGACUGGGACAACCCGGGGAAACCCGGGCUAAUACCGGAUGUGCCCCCUCACAUCAGUGAGGUGUGUAAAGGAAGCUUCGGCCUCCGCAUCGGGAUCGGCCCGCGGCCCAUUAGCUUGUUGGUGAGGUAACGGCUCACCAAGGCUGCGAUGGGUAGCUGGUCUGAGAGGACGAUCAGCCACACUGGGACUGAGACACGGCCCAGACUCCUACGGGAGGCAGCAGUGGGGAAUCUUGCGCAAUGCGCGAAAGCGUGACGCAGCAACGCCGCGUGGGGGAAGACGGCCUUCGGGUUGUAAACCCCUUUCAGUUGGGACGAAGGUCGGGCGGUUAACAGCCGUUCCGGCUGACGGUACCUUCACAAGAAGCCCCGGCUAACUACGUG
RNAcentral lists this ribosomal RNA (492 nucleotides) under uncultured bacterium. RNAcentral describes it as "partial 16S ribosomal RNA". It matches the Rfam family "Bacterial small subunit ribosomal RNA", at positions 28 to 507 of the family's 1533-position model. The record is from RNAcentral.